AACGAACGCUGGCGGCAUGCCUAACACAUGCAAGUCGAACGAGACCUUCGGGUCUAGUGGCGCACGGGUGCGUAACGCGUGGGAACCUGCCCUUAGGUUCGGAAUAACUCCCCGAAAGGGGUGCUAAUACCGGAUAAUGUCUUCGGACCAAAGAUUUAUCGCCUUUGGAUGGGCCCGCGUUGGAUUAGCUUGUUGGUAGGGUAAAAGCCUACCAAGGCGACGAUCCAUAACUGGUCUGAGAGGAUGAUCAGCCACACUGGGACUGAGACACGGCCCAGACUCCUACGGGAGGCAGCAGUGGGUAAUAUUGGACUAUGGGCGAUAGCCUGAUCCACCUAGGCCGCGUGAGUGAUGAAGGCCUUAGGGUUGUAAAGCUCUUUUACCCGGGAUGAUUAUGACAGUACCGGGAGAAUAAGCUCCGGCUAACUCCGUG
RNAcentral lists this ribosomal RNA (433 nucleotides) under uncultured bacterium. Its description in RNAcentral is "partial 16S ribosomal RNA". It matches the Rfam family "Bacterial small subunit ribosomal RNA", at positions 29 to 507 of the family's 1533-position model. The record is from RNAcentral.